GACGAACGCUGGCGGCGUGCUUAACAGAUGCAAGUCGAACGGAAAGGCCCUGCUUUUGUGGGGUGCUCGAGUGGCGAACGGGUGAGUAACACGUGAGUAACCUGCCCUUGACUUUGGGAUAACUUCAGGAAACUGGGGCUAAUACCGGAUAGGAGCUCCUGCUUCAUGGUGGGGGUUGGAAAGUUUCGGCGGUUGGGGAUGGACUCGCGGCUUAUCAGCUUGUUGGUGGGGUAGUGGCUUACCAAGGCUUUGACGGGUAGCCGGCCUGAGAGGGUGACCGGCCACAUUGGGACUGAGAUACGGCCCAGACUCCUACGGGAGGCAGCAGUGGGGAAUAUUGCACAAUGGGCGGAAGCCUGAUGCAGCAACGCCGCGUGCGGGAUGACGGCCUUCGGGUUGUAAACCGCUUUCGCCUGUGACGAAGCGUGAGUGACGGUAAUGGGUAAAGAAGCACCGGCUAACUACGUG
This 468-nucleotide ribosomal RNA is filed under the name uncultured bacterium. Its description in RNAcentral is "partial 16S ribosomal RNA". It matches the Rfam family "Bacterial small subunit ribosomal RNA", at positions 28 to 507 of the family's 1533-position model. The record is from RNAcentral.